UACGUAGGGUGCGAGCGUUGUCCGGAAUUAUUGGGCGUAAAGAGCUUGUAGGCGGUCUGUCGCGUCUGCUGUGAAAAUCCGGGGCUCAACCCCGGACUUGCAGUGGGUACGGGCAGACUAGAGUGUGGUAGGGGAGACUGGAAUUCCUGGUGUAGCGGUGAAAUGCGCAGAGUAUCAGGAGGAACACCGAUGGCGAAGGCAGGUCUCUGGGCCACUACUGACGCUGAGAAGCGAAAGCAUGGGGAGCGAACAGG
Molecule: ribosomal RNA, 254 nt
Filed under: uncultured bacterium
Lineage: Bacteria
Description: partial 16S ribosomal RNA
Rfam family: Bacterial small subunit ribosomal RNA
Source: RNAcentral